GUGCUCACUGGCAACACAUAUACUAAAAUUGGUAUUAUACAGAGAAGAUUAGUAUGGGCCCUGUUGCAAGGAUGACAUACAAAUUCUUCAAGCAUUCAGUAUUUUU
Molecule: small nuclear RNA, 106 nt
Filed under: Dasypus novemcinctus (nine-banded armadillo)
Lineage: Eukaryota; Metazoa; Chordata; Mammalia; Cingulata; Dasypodidae
Source: RNAcentral